CACCGAGACCAUCGCCAUUUACUCCCCCAAUUAAAACGUCUUUUAGAAAAAUGAAUACUUCCGUUACUCUUUCGUUCACAAUUGUGGCGUAUCCUCCACCAAAUGGUAAAUCGGCAUAUUCUUGGCGAAAGCUUGUUGAACAAUACUGGGAACCAAUAAAUAAUGCCAGCAGACAUCAGAUCAGCAUAUCAGACGACAGACUGCAGUCAAGUCUGUUAUUGACACAACUACAAAAUGACGACUUUACAAACUAUUCGGUUCGUGUUUACAAUGACCUUGGUUUUACAGAACAUGUGUUUGUCCUUCGAGAAAAUGAGCCACCCGCUAUGCCUCAAGGAUUUCACGUUAUUUACGCCAUGGUAACGGAAGAUUCUUUGACAAUUGAAUGGAUGCCUGGAAUGAACGGGAAUGAAGACCAAAAGUACAUAAUAGGUUAUAAAAAAGUAGCCGAUGAGACUUGGACUUACAAAACCGUAAAGUCAACAGUAUCUCGAGUGACUAUCGUUGAAUUAGCUACGGGCACCACGUACGACGUCAAACUGUAUGCAGAAAAUUAUGUAGGAAAAUCGAAUGAGAC
Molecule: long non-coding RNA, 577 nt
Organism: Dreissena polymorpha
Lineage: Eukaryota; Metazoa; Mollusca; Bivalvia; Myida; Dreissenidae
Exons: 3
Source: RefSeq, a predicted model, not a curated record